CAGUGGUCUGCGGCCGCGAAGACGCUUUGGAAAAUAUGGGCGUGACUAGCAAGUUCUUUAGUUUCUCUAAAGCCUAGGAGCCGGCAGGCGGGUCAGCUUAGCACCGCGGAGCCUUCCUGCAACAGCCAAAAAUAAAACCCCAACAAACUCAACGCCCCCCGCCCCGCCCCCUCGGCGUUGGCCCGCGGGCCGCUCGGGGCGGGGGCGCGGCUCCGGGCGCUCGGCUCCAGACAGACUUCCGGGACACAGGCGGCUUUUCUUCUCCAAAAUCCACAGACUCCCUUGGUGCGCUUUGUUUUUACAGUGGAAAGCUACAAUAAAAAAACCUAGCCGUGAACAUAAGUGCGAUUAGAAGCGGCCGGCUUCACUUCCUGGAAGCUUUUUGUUGGGUGUUGAAACUGGGAAGCUUUGCGGGUCAUCCUUAAAGUCAUCUUGAUUGCACUGAUCAGAAACUGACUCUCUACGUUUCCUGAAGACAGGUGCUACAGAGUGUCCCGGCUCCCUCUAUUCUGCACUUCUGUAUAUGCAGCAAAACAUCGGGACCGGGGCGGGGCCGGGGGGGGGGGGGGGGGCACAUGGUCUUGCGAGUUAAACAAACCUGCUUUGGAUUCCUGCUGGUUACUUGCUGUGCAAUGUUAGGCGACUUAUCUACUGUCCUUGAGCUUGUUUCCUUAAAAACAGAUAUAAUAAAACUACCUCCUGGGUCAUUGAAUCACAUGUGAAAGCAUCUUGAACAGUAGCUAGUCCCCAGUAACCACCUAAAAUAUUAGUUUCCCUUGCCCUUGGGAUUUCAGUUACUAGUGUGGGUACUUGAGAGCAUUCUUAUUAGAUCUUUUUACUUGUCUAAAAAUCCUACUUUAGUAGAAUCCAGACUUUGGUAUGCAGGAGACUUACCUGGAUUCUUGCUUAAAAUGCUAGUUUCUGGGGCCCUCACCCAGGAUUUUGAUUCAGGAAGUCCAAAAUGGGGCCCUGGGGUUUGACAUUUUAGCGUUUAAUUCUGGGGCACGAGUUCUCAGACCUCCCCCUGACAGUCCCUGUU
Molecule: long non-coding RNA, 1039 nt
Filed under: Equus asinus (donkey)
Lineage: Eukaryota; Metazoa; Chordata; Mammalia; Perissodactyla; Equidae
Description: lncRNA (ENSEASG00005035393.1)
Source: RNAcentral